Molecule: ribosomal RNA, 253 nt
Filed under: uncultured bacterium
Lineage: Bacteria
Description: partial 16S ribosomal RNA
Rfam family: Bacterial small subunit ribosomal RNA
Source: RNAcentral
UACGUAGGGUCCGAGCGUUGCCCGGAAUUAUUGGGCGUAAAGAGCUCGUAGGCGGUUCGUCGCGUCGGCUGUGAAAACCCGAGGCUCAACCUCGGGCCUGCAGUCGAUACGGGCGGACUGGAGUUCGGCAGGGGAGACUGGAAUUCCUGGUGUAGCGGUGAAAUGCGUAGAUAUCAGGAGGAAUACCGGUGGCGAAAGCGACUCUCUGGACGGCAACUGACGCUGAGGCACGAAAGCGUAGGGAGCAAACAGG